AUACUUAAAUACGUUUUUUAAAACAUUACUUUAUACCAUAUUAUACUUCUUAUUACAAGAUUAAAUAAGAAAGGUGAUGCACUAAAUGGCGUAAUUUCCUCCCUCGCACCACAUGCAUGAUGCAUCUCUAUGAAUACACAAAAAAAAAAAAAAAACGAUGUCAACGAGUGGUUUUAGACUUUUAGUAAUAGUUUACGUACAUUAAAGAACUAUUUUUCCUUUUCGUACCAAUAAUUACCUUAAUUAAUAAUCACAAAUUUCGUUUUAAGCAACAUACAAUUCAGCCCAACAAACUUGUUUUUAUAUAAUACUAC
RNAcentral lists this long non-coding RNA (314 nucleotides) under Capsella rubella. RNAcentral's name for it is "long non-coding RNA (CRUB_LNC003656)". Lineage: Eukaryota; Viridiplantae; Streptophyta; Magnoliopsida; Brassicales; Brassicaceae. The record is from RNAcentral.